This 2283-nucleotide long non-coding RNA is filed under the name Helianthus annuus (common sunflower). RNAcentral describes it as "sRNA HanXRQr2_Chr01g0007001". Lineage: Eukaryota; Viridiplantae; Streptophyta; Magnoliopsida; Asterales; Asteraceae. The record is from RNAcentral.
GGGGUAUGAAGUAACCGGUGACUAACAAGUCUAACCGCCAAAAUGAAUAAACAAUAAAGAUAAUGAUAUAAGCUGAAAAGUAACGGCCAGCGAAGCCUUACACACGAAAGAUUUACACGUCAAUAUAAAUGGAAACGUUAGAUCAAAAGGAAUUAAUGAAUGUCUUAAAAAACGAAACUAAGUUCCUUUAAUCCAAAUUAAAGAAACUAUGUAAAUAAGGUUUCGAGGACGAAACCUCUCUAAGGGGGGUAGACUUGUAACACCCCAAAAAUGGGUUUGGUAAUCAAACCGCGUUACUAGUAAUGACGGGUAAAAUACCUUUAGUGGUAAAAAUUAACCCGGUAAGUAUUAGGAAUUUAAAUAAAUAAACUUAAUAUUAACUGGAAAGAGGAUAAAUACUUUGAGAAGACAAAGUUUAUAAAAAGGGACCCGAGUUAACGGGACAUAAAAUAAACGGGUUACAACUCCCGGAACUAACUAAGUUAACUAGGAAUAAUCAACCUAGUUAAUUAAAAGUCUCAUAAUGGUAUGUGAGUGGGUUAAAAACACCUAAAGUAAGAACCUGACAAUAAUUGAGGGGCCAAAGGUGUUAAAAAGCAAACUAGUUUUUAAUUAAAACAAAAAAAAUAUAAUAACACACACUUGUGUGUAUGGAUCGAACAGAACCAGGAGGGGGCGACCACGGGUUUCUCCACAAACCCUAAUUCUCACAAAAUCCUCCAAAUUGAAGCUCAAAUCAAGCCCGAAUCGUCUGCAUGAUUACAAAUUCGUGAUCUCCAUUGAAAUGGGAGUCAUAAGGUAUGUAAAUUUUAUGAAGAAUCUCUAGUUGGAUUUCUAGGUAAACUUAGAAAUCUGAAAAUUGAUGGUUGCAUGUUCGUUAUAUGAUGAAAUUAGGAAUGAUUUUAUGUCUAGGAGUAAACCCUAGUCAUUUACUUGUUGAAUUGAUGUCCCUAAUUGUGAAUUCAUGAUCACCCAAUUACGUGCUAAAUGGGUUUUGUAGAAAUAUGAUGAACACUAGAAUUUUAAUGGUUAAAUUGUGUUAGUAGAACUCCCUGAAGUUAGAUUUGAGGUUUGAUGUUACUACUUGUUAAAUAUUGCGAGAAUUUAAGGAUUUAGAACACUUAAAUGGGCUGGAGAAAUUGGAUGUUUCGUGUUGCACACAAGGUGCUUGAUGAAAUGCUUGAAUAAGAAAAUUAUAACAAAACUGAUUGGGAUUAAAAAUUAUUGGGCUGCAGUUUUUAAAAAAUCAUAUAAAAUCACUGGAAUGACCUGUGAGGUUGAGCCUUAUAUGCUCAGAAAGCUAUUGAAACAUACUACGUUUUAUGUUUGAACAUGUUUGUUAGAUUCUGAUGUUAAACGGGUCAAAACAGUGUCCGAAGUCGGCUGAACUGUUUUGACAGCAAGCUGAUUGGAAGCAUUUUGACUUCGGAGCUGAUUUUAAAAAAAUCAUAAUUAAUUCUAGGAUGCUCGGAUUGAGCUGAUUCUUUUUGGGAUGGAAAGAUAUUUUAGUAUUCUUCAUUUCAUCUUUGAUCACAAAGGGCUAAAUAAGACCGCAAAGUGGCCAAAAGAGUCGAUUCAGCAGCUACAUUGUAAAGUUGCUGCACAUUUUAUUGAUGAACUUAAUCCAAGGAAAGUUGUAUUUUGUUCAUACUUUACCUUGUUUAUAAAACAAUGGUUUCAUGAAUAUUAAGCAUGUUAUUUUGCUUAUUUCAAGUAUUUAAAAUAACUACAAAUAAGCUUGUCAGCGAAGUUGUGAAAAUGAGAAAAAGAAUGAUUAAAGCAUAUAAUACAUAUGGGUAGUUUGACUAUUAAGAAAGUAAAACUGACCUAUGAUUUAGUUAAGUAAAUUAUAUGCAAUAAACCCCAUAGGAAAUGGUAGCCAUAAUAUGAAAUGACUAAACUAACCAUUUUAUGGGUAAUAUGAUAGUUUGACUCUUGACGAGCUAGGUGAAGCUUGGAGGAGAAGAUCAAACGGGAUAAAGGCACGAGUAAGACUUGCUUGGAUGAAAGGGGCGAAUAGUAAUUUGGGUAAUUGCGUCGCCAUAAGAAUAUCGAUAAUGAAAGCAAGGAGUCGAAACGGGUCAUUAGGUUGACUCGAGCCAGGUGAAUGUCGAGAGUCCCGGAUGAAGAUCAAGCAUCGAACAAGAACCGAACACACGUUAAACAAAGCUUCCGCAACGUUGUUUUGUCGUUAUUCUAAACGGCGAAUUAAAUCACAUUAUGUAUAUCACUUAAAUUGUAAAAGUUUUUAACAACCGGUAUUUCUAAUGUAUAUGCAAUUAU